GGCUACAUCAUCUUGUUGUUGACGGGUUCCGUGUGUUCAAUCGCCGAGCAGAAAGCCAGGAACAGAACUUAGGCGUUGGCGAUUGGCAUCUCCCUCCCCUAAGCCAUGGCCACCGGGCGGCCCGUACGACUCGUGCUGGAUGCCUCCCUCCUCCUCGACCCCUCCUCCACCAGGGAGGCGGCGGCGGUGGCUCUGCGGCCCGGGGUAGAGGAGCUGUUGCGGCGGUUGCGCUACUCCAACCUGAAUGUGGCAAUCUGCUAUGCAGAGGGCAUGCCAACUAAUGAGAUGCUCUACUUAUCUACAUUAUUAUUACAUCCCUCUGAAGUUGUAUCUUCAGAAGUUCACAUUGACAGUAUUUGCUUCCUCUUGCCAUACUUACCCAUCAUGGCCCAUGGGGUGUCUAUCUUAUCAUGCCAUCUUCAAAGAAUGGCAUCAUGUUAACAAAAAUGAAUGAGAAAUCAGUCAUUUCUAAUGGAAAGUCAGGCUUUCUUGAAAAGGUCGCAAGCUCACACUUGUUUGGCUCUAUAGCACUUCUUGCGAAAAGUGGGAAUCUUUCUCUAACUGAAUUAAUGUUAGAAUGGAGCCAAACAAGUUUAUGUUUUUAUGCGACUUCAAGAGUUGACAAAGGUUUAAGUUCUGAGCUCCAGAAUCAGAAUUGGAGAGUUCUUUCUGUAGCUAAUGAAUGUAGCAUAGAGGUUCCUGGUGUUUUAAAUGUUCAAAGGCUUCAGCAGUUGCUUCUCACCUUGGCUACUCUAAUAAAAGGGAACUAUGUGACUCAUCUGUUCUGGUGAUUGGAUAUAUAAUGAAAAUAUUCUGUGAGGAAGACUUCGCAAGGGCAAGUUACUUUAGAGUUUACAGUGUAAAUGAAUAUUAACAGCUACUUAUGUAUUGUUUAACAACAUGAACAUCACGCUUUUUCAUCU
Zea mays is the source of this 923-nucleotide RNA transcript. It is a transcript of the gene named inositol-tetrakisphosphate 1-kinase pseudogene, with no coding region annotated. The record is from RefSeq and is a predicted model, not a curated record. The transcript has 5 exons. NCBI's taxonomy places the organism in Eukaryota, Viridiplantae, Streptophyta, Magnoliopsida, Poales, Poaceae.